This 497-nucleotide ribosomal RNA is filed under the name uncultured bacterium. RNAcentral's name for it is "partial 16S ribosomal RNA". It matches the Rfam family "Bacterial small subunit ribosomal RNA", at positions 28 to 507 of the family's 1533-position model. The record is from RNAcentral.
GAUGAACGCUGGCGGCGUGCCUAAUACAUGCAAGUCGAGCGAACAGAUAAGGAGCUUGCUCCUUUGACGUUAGCGGCGGACGGGUGAGUAACACGUGGGUAACCUACCUAUAAGACUGGGAUAACUUCGGGAAACCGGUGCUAAUACCGGAUAAUAUUUCGAACCGCAUGGUUCGAUAGUGAAAGAUGGUUUUGCUAUCACUUAUAGAUGGACCCGCGCCGUAUUAGCUAGUUGGUAAGGUAACGGCUUACCAAGGCGACGAUACGUAGCCGACCUGAGAGGGUGAUCGGCCACACUGGAACUGAGACACGGUCCAGACUCCUACGGGAGGCAGCAGUAGGGAAUCUUCCGCAAUGGGCGAAAGCCUGACGGAGCAACGCCGCGUGAGUGAUGAAGGUCUUCGGAUCGUAAAACUCUGUUAUUAGGGAAGAACAUACGUGUAAGUAACUGUGCACGUCUUGACGGUACCUAAUCAGAAAGCCACGGCUAACUACGUG